GCGAUACAGGGUGACAGCCCCGUACACAAAAAUGCACAUACUGUGAGCUCGAUGAGUAGGGCGGGACACGUGGUAUCCUGUCUGAAUAUGGGGGGACCAUCCUCCAAGGCUAAAUACUCCUGACUGACCGAUAGUGAACCAGUACCGUGAGGGAAAGGCGAAAAGAACCCCGGCGAGGGGAGUGAAAAAGAACCUGAAACCGUGUACGUACAAGCAGUGGGAGCCUCUUAAUGGGGUGACUGCGUACCUUUUGUAUAAUGGGUCAGCGACUUAUAUUCUGUAGCAAGGUUAACCGAAUAGGGGAGCCGAAGGGAAACCGAGUCUUAACUGGGCGUUAAGUUGCAGGGUAUAGACCCGAAACCCGGUGAUCUAGCCAUGGGCAGGUUGAAGGUUGGGUAACACUAACUGGAGGACCGAACCGACUAAUGUUGAAAAAUUAGCGGAUGACUUGUGGCUGGGGGUGAAAGGCCAAUCAAACCGGGAGAUAGCUGGUUCUCCCCGAAAGCUAUUUAGGUAGCGCCUCGUGAAUUCAUCUCCGGGGGUAGAGCACUGUUUCGGCAAGGGGGUCAUCCCGACUUACCAACCCGAUGCAAACUGCGAAUACCGGAGAAUGUUAUCACGGGAGACACACGGCGGGUGCUAACGUCCGUCGUGAAGAGGGAAACAACCCAGACCGCCAGCUAAGGUCCCAAAGUCAUGGUUAAGUGGGAAACGAUGUGGGAAGGCCCAGACAGCCAGGAUGUUGGCUUAGAAGCAGCCAUCAUUUAAAGAAAGCGUAAUAGCUCACUGGUCGAGUCGGCCUGCGCGGAAGAUGUAACGGGGCUAAACCAUGCACCGAAGCUGCGGCAGCGACACUAUGUGUUGUUGGGUAGGGGAGCGUUCUGUAAGCCUGUGAAGGUGUACUGUGAGGUAUGCUGGAGGUAUCAGAAGUGCGAAUGCUGACAUAAGUAACGAUAAAGCGGGUGAAAAGCCCGCUCGCCGGAAGACCAAGGGUUCCUGUCCAACGUUAAUCGGGGCAGGGUGAGUCGACCCCUAAGGCGAGGCCGAAAGGCGUAGUCGAUGGGAAACAGGUUAAUAUUCCUGUACUUGGUGUUACUGCGAAGGGGGGACGGAGAAGGCUAUGUUGGCCGGGCGACGGUUGUCCCGGUUUAAGCGUGUAGGCUGGUUUUCCAGGCAAAUCCGGAAAAUCAAGGCUGAGGCGUGAUGACGAGGCACUACGGUGCUGAAGCAACAAAUGCCCUGCUUCCAGGAAAAGCCUCUAAGCAUCAGGUAACAUCAAAUCGUACCCCAAACCGACACAGGUGGUCAGGUAGAGAAUACCAAGGCGCUUGAGAGAACUCGGGUGAAGGAACUAGGCAAAAUGGUGCCGUAACUUCGGGAGAAGGCACGCUGAUAUGUAGGUGAAGUCCCUUGCGGAUGGAGCUGAAAUCAGUCGAAGAUACCAGCUGGCUGCAACUGUUUAUUAAAAACACAGCACUGUGCAAACACGAAAGUGGACGUAUACGGUGUGACGCCUGCCCGGUGCCGGAAGGUUAAUUGAUGGGGUUAGCGGUAACGCGAAGCUCUUGAUCGAAGCCCCGGUAAACGGCGGCCGUAACUAUAACGGUCCUAAGGUAGCGAAAUUCCUUGUCGGGUAAGUUCCGACCUGCACGAAUGGCGUAAUGAUGGCCAGGCUGUCUCCACCCGAGACUCAGUGAAAUUGAACUCGCUGUGAAGAUGCAGUGUACCCGCGGCAAGACGGAAAGACCCCGUGAACCUUUACUAUAGCUUGACACUGAACAUUGAGCCUUGAUGUGUAGGAUAGGUGGGAGGCUUUGAAGUGUGGACGCCAGUCUGCAUGGAGCCGGCCUUGAAAUACCACCCUUUAAUGUUUGAUGUUCUAACGUUGGCCCCUGAUCGGGGUUGCGGACAGUGUCUGGUGGGUAGUUUGACUGGGGCGGUCUCCUCCUAAAGAGUAACGGAGGAGCACGAAGGUUGGCUAAUCCUGGUCGGACAUCAGGAGGUUAGUGCAAUGGCAUAAGCCAGCUUGACUGCGAGCGUGACGGCGCGAGCAGGUGCGAAAGCAGGUCAUAGUGAUCCGGUGGUUCUGAAUGGAAGGGCCAUCGCUCAACGGAUAAAAGGUACUCCGGGGAUAACAGGCUGAUACCGCCCAAGAGUUCAUAUCGACGGCGGUGUUUGGCACCUCGAUGUCGGCUCAUCACAUCCUGGGGCUGAAGUAGGUCCCAAGGGUAUGGCUGUUCGCCAUUUAAAGUGGUACGCGAGCUGGGUUUAGAACGUCGUGAGACAGUUCGGUCCCUAUCUGCCGUGGGCGCUGGAGAACUGAGGGGGGCUGCUCCUAGUACGAGAGGACCGGAGUGGACGCAUCACUGGUGUUCGGGUUGUCAUGCCAAUGGCACUGCCCGGUAGCUAAAUGCGGAAGAGAUAAGUGCUGAAAGCAUCUAAGCACGAAACUUGCCCCGAGAUGAGUUCUCCCUGACUCUUUAAGGGUCCUGAAGGAACGUUGAAGACGACGACGUUAAUAGGCCGGGUGUGUAAGCGCAGCGAUGCGUUGAGCUAACCGGUACUAAUGAACCGUGAGGCUUAACCUUACAACGCCGAAGGUGUUU
Molecule: ribosomal RNA, 2606 nt
Filed under: Escherichia coli
Lineage: Bacteria; Pseudomonadati; Pseudomonadota; Gammaproteobacteria; Enterobacterales; Enterobacteriaceae
Description: partial 23S ribosomal RNA
Rfam family: Bacterial large subunit ribosomal RNA
Source: RNAcentral